ACUAGUUUGGCAGAAUAUUGUGAUUGAUUUAGAAUCAUUUUAUAUUAGUUAAACACUUUUAUC
Molecule: transfer RNA, 63 nt
Filed under: Orchesella villosa
Lineage: Eukaryota; Metazoa; Arthropoda; Collembola; Entomobryomorpha; Orchesellidae
Description: tRNA-Leu
Source: RNAcentral